RNAcentral lists this ribosomal RNA (433 nucleotides) under uncultured bacterium. RNAcentral describes it as "partial 16S ribosomal RNA". It matches the Rfam family "Bacterial small subunit ribosomal RNA", at positions 29 to 507 of the family's 1533-position model. The record is from RNAcentral.
AACGAACGCUGGCGGCAUGCCUAACACAUGCAAGUCGAACGAUCCCUUCGGGGAUAGUGGCGCACGGGUGCGUAACGCGGGGGAACCUGCCCUUAGGUUCGGAAUAACUCAGAGAAAUUUGAGCUAAUACCGGAUAAUGUCUUCGGACCAAAGAUUUAUCGCCUUUGGAUGGGCCCGCGUUGGAUUAGCUGGUUGGUGGGGUAAAGGCCUACCAAGGCGACGGUCCAUAGCUGGUCUGAGAGGAUGCUCAGCCACACUGGGACUGAGACACGGCCCAGACUCCUACGGGAGGGAGCAGUGGAGAAUAUUGGACACUGGGCGAAAGCCUAAUCCAGCAAUGCCGCGUGAGUGAUGAAGGCCUUAGGGUUGUAAAGCUCUUUUACCCGGGAUGAUAAUGACAGUACCGGGAGAAUAAGCCCCGGCUAACUCCGUG